GGACCCGCACAAGUAGUGGAGCAUGUGGUUUAAUUCGAAGAUACGCGCAGAACCUUACCAACACUUGACAUGUUCGUCGCGACUUUAAGAGAUUAAAGUUUUCGGUUCGGCCGGACGAAACACAGGUGCUGCAUGGCUGUCGUCAGCUCGUGUCGUGAGAUGUUGGGUUAAGUCCCGCAACGAGCGCAACCCUCACUUUUAGUUGCCAUCAUUUAGUUGGGCACUCUGAAAGAACUGCCAGUGAUAAGCUGGAGGAAGGUGGGGAUGACGUCAAGUCCUCAUGGCCCUUACGUGUUGGGCUACACACGUGCUACAAUGGUAUUUACAACAGGAAGCAAGACGGCGACGUUAAGCAAAUCCCAUAAAACGUUUCGUAGUCCGGAUCGCAGUCUGCAACUCGACUGCGUG
Molecule: ribosomal RNA, 408 nt
Filed under: uncultured bacterium
Lineage: Bacteria
Description: bacterial SSU rRNA
Rfam family: Bacterial small subunit ribosomal RNA
Source: RNAcentral